GAUGAACGCUGGCGGCGUGCCUAAUACAUGCAAGUCGAGCGAACAGACGAGGAGCUUGCUCCUCUGACGUUAGCGGCGGACGGGUGAGUAACACGUGGAUAACCUACCUAUAAGACUGGGAUAACUUCGGGAAACCGGAGCUAAUACCGGAUAAUAUAUUGAACCGCAUGGUUCAAUAGUGAAAGACGGUUUUGCUGUAACUUCUAGAUGGAUCCGCGCCGCAUUAGCUAGUUGGUAAGGUAACGGCUUACCAAGGCAACGAUGCGUAGCCGACCUGAGAGGGUGAUCGGCCACACUGGAACUGAGACACGGUCCAGACUCCUACGGGAGGCAGCAGUAGGGAAUCUUCCGCAAUGGGCGAAAGCCUGACGGAGCAACGCCGCGUGAGUGAUGAAGGUCUUCGGAUCGUAAAACUCUGUUAUUAGGGAAGAACAAAUGUGUAAGUAACUAUGCACGUCUUGACGGUACCUAAUCAGAAAGCCACGGCUAACUACGUG
Molecule: ribosomal RNA, 497 nt
Filed under: uncultured bacterium
Lineage: Bacteria
Description: partial 16S ribosomal RNA
Rfam family: Bacterial small subunit ribosomal RNA
Source: RNAcentral